This is a non-coding RNA of Aphanomyces astaci, 80 nucleotides long. The record is from the annotation of a RefSeq genome assembly. Lineage: Eukaryota; Oomycota; Saprolegniomycetes; Saprolegniales; Verrucalvaceae.
GACACAGUGGCGCAACGGUUAGUGCGACGGCAUCCAUGAUGAUAGCGGAAGGGACCCGGGUUCGAGCCCGGGUAGUGUCA